UACGUAGGCAGCAAGCGUUGUUCGGAAUUACUGGGCGUAAAGCGUGUGUAGGCGGUGCCGUAAGUUUGGCGUGAAAUCUCCCGGCUUAACUGGGAGGGUGCGCCGAAGGCUGCGGUGCUUGAGGGUUGGAGAGGAAAGUGGAAUUUCUGGUGUAGCGGUGAAAUGCGUAGAUAUCUGGAGGAACACCGGUGGCGAAGGCGGCGUUCUGGACUGCAACUGACACUGAGAAACGAAAGCCAGGGUAGCAAACGGG
Molecule: ribosomal RNA, 253 nt
Filed under: uncultured bacterium
Lineage: Bacteria
Description: partial 16S ribosomal RNA
Rfam family: Bacterial small subunit ribosomal RNA
Source: RNAcentral